UACGUAGGGGGCGAGCGUUAUUCGGAUUUACUGGGCGUAAAGCGCGUGUAGGCGGCUGGUUAAGCGUGAUGUGAAAUCUCCGGGCUCAACCCGGAAACUGCAUUGCGAACUGGCCUGGCUGGAGUGCAGGAGAGGGUAGUGGAAUUCCCAGUGUAGAGGUGAAAUUCGUAGAUAUUGGGAAGAACACCGGUGGCGAAGGCGGCGACCUGGUCCGUGACUGACGCUGAGGCGCGAAAGCGUGGGGAGCAAACAGG
Molecule: ribosomal RNA, 254 nt
Filed under: uncultured bacterium
Lineage: Bacteria
Description: partial 16S ribosomal RNA
Rfam family: Bacterial small subunit ribosomal RNA
Source: RNAcentral